RNAcentral lists this ribosomal RNA (468 nucleotides) under uncultured bacterium. RNAcentral describes it as "partial 16S ribosomal RNA". It matches the Rfam family "Bacterial small subunit ribosomal RNA", at positions 28 to 507 of the family's 1533-position model. The record is from RNAcentral.
GACGAACGCUGGCGGCGUGCUUAACACAUGCAAGUCGAACGGAAAGGCCCUGCUUUUGUGGGGUGCUCGAGUGGCGAACGGGUGAGUAACACGUGAGUAACCUGCCCUUGACUUUGGGAUAACUUCAGGAAACUGGGGCUAAUACCGGAUAGGAGCUCCUGCUGCAUGGUGGGGGUUGGAAAGUUUCGGCGGUUGGGGAUGGACUCGCGGCUUAUCAGCUUGUUGGUGGGGUAGUGGCUUACCAAGGCUUUGACGGGUAGCCGGCCUGAGAGGGUGACCGGCCACAUUGGGACUGAGAUACGGCCCAGACUCCUACGGGAGGCAGCAGUGGGGAAUAUUGCACAAUGGGCGGAAGCCUGAUGCAGAAACGCCGCGUGCGGGAUGACGGCCUUCGGGUUGUAAACCGCUUUCGCCUGUGACGAAGCGUGAGUGACGGUAAUGGGUAAAGAAGCGCCGGCUAACUACGUG